Molecule: ribosomal RNA, 711 nt
Filed under: Pseudogymnoascus sp.
Lineage: Eukaryota; Fungi; Ascomycota; Leotiomycetes; Thelebolales; Thelebolaceae
Description: partial large subunit ribosomal RNA
Rfam family: Eukaryotic large subunit ribosomal RNA
Source: RNAcentral
UCAGUAACGGCGAGUGAAGCGGUAACAGCUCAAAUUUGAAAUCUGGCCUCACGGUCCGAGUUGUAAUUUGUAGAGGAUGCUUCGAGCAUGGUCUGGCCUAAGUUCCUUGGAACAGGACGUCAUAGAGGGUGAGAAUCCCGUAUGCGGCCAGGUGCCUACGCUCAUGUGAAGCUCCUUCGACGAGUCGAGUUGUUUGGGAAUGCAGCUCAAAAUGGGUGGUAAAUUUCAUCUAAAGCUAAAUAUUGGCCAGAGACCGAUAGCGCACAAGUAGAGUGAUCGAAAGAUGAAAAGCACUUUGGAAAGAGAGUUAAACAGUACGUGAAAUUGUUGAAAGGGAAGCGCUUGCAACCAGACUUGCGCGCGGCCGAUCAUCCGGUGUUCUCACCGGUGCACUCGGCCGUGCUCAGGCCAGCAUCGGUUUUGGCGGCUGGAUAAAGGCCCUAGGAAUGUGGCUCCUCUCGGGGAGUGUUAUAGCCUAGGGUGCAAUGCAGCCUGCUGGGACCGAGGACCGCGCUUCGGCUAGGAUGCUGGCGUAAUGGUUGUAAGCGGCCCGUCUUGAAACACGGACCAAGGAGUCUAACAUCUAUGCGAGUGUUUGGGUGUCAAACCCAUACGCGUAAUGAAAGUGAACGGAGGUGAGAACCCUUAAGGGUGCAUCAUCGACCGAUCCUGAUGUCUUCGGAAGGAUUUGAGUAAGAGCAUAGCUGUUGG